This is a long non-coding RNA of Strongylocentrotus purpuratus (purple sea urchin), 947 nucleotides long. RefSeq lists it as uncharacterized. The record is from RefSeq and is a predicted model, not a curated record. The transcript is spliced from 2 exons. NCBI's taxonomy places the organism in Eukaryota, Metazoa, Echinodermata, Echinoidea, Camarodonta, Strongylocentrotidae.
AAUAGUGCACACACAAGCUACUGUGUGCAUUAUAAAUUCACAAUGUAGCUUUGCCUAGACAGGAGCUAGACUGAAUCUUGGUGUUUUCUCUGCAAAAUAAUGCUGAAUACUGAGUUUUCCUGCUAAUCUACAACAGUAUGGAUAUAGACGCAACAUGACAAAUGAGUAGUUUCCAUAUCGACCUCGUUCUUUAUCAUCAUCUUCACCAAUACAUCAACGCCACCAUCACCAUGUCUUUGACGUCGACCUCCGUUUUCGCGUUUAAACUUUGAAGAUUGUUGCGAACUCUAAUAAUGAAUUGGAUAUUGGCAUUAUCGACGUUUGUUCUGUUUUUGAACACUGUCGCAUCAAACUUUGAUUGAAGGUAAGAACCUCCUUUUUACCUUCUUCGAUUUGCGUUUCGUCGUUUGCAGGUCUGAUCCUGACUCCGACUAAAGAUGACCUAACCUAUCGUUUUGUCUUCAAUCACCCUCGACGUCAAACUCUAUACCGCGUUUCACCAUCGCCGAACACGGACUCCGCAACCGAUUGACAUUGCCGACUGGCCGAAUGACUUUCGUUCAUCAUUCAUUUUUUAACUGUAUAUGAUCACCGACAUCUACGAUCUGCCAAGAAGGCCUAGUCAACAAUUGUUUCUUAAAAUUUCGUCUUUCGACUGAAUUCGAGUACGACAUCGUCAACGAAUCUCGCACCUCCGCUGGAAGGACAGUUUGUAUAAUGUACUAUGUAAUUUGAAUAUGAGCGGCAGUCUUCCGCUAUAGAAAUAGACUAACCACUUUAUAAUAUUGUUGUGUGCUGAAAAUGUUUAGUGUCAUGUAUAAUGAUGUAACAAGCGGCAGUCUUCGCUAUAGAAAUAGACUUCAGUUUUCGACUGUAAAUUGUUUUAUAUAUUUUACGCGAGCUAGAUUUUAGCUCGUUUGAAUAAACGUUUUUUUUUUUAAAGUAAA